AUGGAAGAAGAAAUUGAUGAAACUGUAAGCUCAUUGGAUGAAAAAGAUGAUGAGGGGAGCGAAGAACAAGAGCGGAUUAGCUACCCGUGCCCACCUUCUAAUGAGAGUAACUCUUCAACUCAUACAUUGUUUAAUUUCCCUUUGUGCUUACCGGAGGAUGAUUGCUAUGAUGAUUGUUAUGAUCCCGUUGAUUCUUUUGAAAUAUCCCUUUUUGAUGAUGCUUGCUAUGCUUGUGGCCAAGAUGCCAAUAUAAAUUAUGCUUAUGGAGAUGAACUUGAUAUAGUUCCUUAUGUUAAACAUGAAAUUGUUGCUAUUGCACCCACGCAUGAUAGUCCUAUUAUCUUUUUGAAUUCUCCCGACUACACUAUAUCAGAGAAGUUUGCACUUAUUAAGGAUUAUAUUGAUGGGUUACCUUUUACCGUUGCACAUGAUGAUUUUGAUGAAUAUAAUAUGCAUGUGCUUGCUGCUCCUACUUGCAAUUAUUAUGAGAGAGGAACUAUAUCUCCACCUCUCUAUGUUUCCAAUAUGAUAAAAUUGCAAGAAACUGUUUAUACUAUGCAUUGGCCUUUACUUUGUGUGCAUGAAUUGUUCUUUUAUGACAUGCUGAUGCAUAGGAAGAGAGUUAGACUUCGUUGUUGUAUGAUAUAUGUUACUUUGUGCUCACUACUAAAUUACAAAUCAUUAUUAAUUAAAAUUGGCUUUGAUAUACCUUGGGAUGCGGGUGGAUUCAUUACUUGA
RNAcentral lists this ribosomal RNA (738 nucleotides) under Triticum aestivum (bread wheat). Its description in RNAcentral is "partial small subunit ribosomal RNA". The record is from RNAcentral. Lineage: Eukaryota; Viridiplantae; Streptophyta; Magnoliopsida; Poales; Poaceae.